GUUUCUUCGACUUCCUCAAUGAAUCCUCGCUUAGUUUGUUCUUUAAUAAUGUUGCCAUAACAUUUCAGCAAAUCAGGGGUAGCGGCAAGUCGAUGGAUCAUCGCUCGAGUACGACGCUCACAUGCUAGGUAGUUGUCUGGGAGGGCUGGUGCAUCAUCUUUCCAUGGGAAUUUUGCUGCGUAACUGCCAUUUGGGUUUCUGGUAAUUGAGGUGUUGAUGUAAUUUUCCAGGAAAUCUUGUUGGUUUUCAGUGCGGGUUGGCGGAGUGUUGCCUAUAGAUUCGAGAGACCAGAA
Paramuricea clavata is the source of this 293-nucleotide non-coding RNA. NCBI's taxonomy places the organism in Eukaryota, Metazoa, Cnidaria, Anthozoa, Malacalcyonacea, Plexauridae. The record is from the annotation of a GenBank genome assembly.